Molecule: ribosomal RNA, 447 nt
Filed under: uncultured bacterium
Lineage: Bacteria
Description: bacterial SSU rRNA
Rfam family: Bacterial small subunit ribosomal RNA
Source: RNAcentral
UGGGGAAUUUUGGACAAUGGGCGCAAGCCUGAUCCAGCCAUGCCGCGUGAGUGACGAAGGCCUUAGGGUUGUAAAGCUCUUUUGGCGGGGACGAUAAUGACGGUACCCGCAGAAUAAGCCCCGGCUAACUUCGUGCCAGCAGCCGCGGUAAUACGAAGGGGGCUAGCGUUGUUCGGAAUCACUGGGCGUAAAGCGCACGUAGGCGGAUUUGUAAGUCAGGGGUGAAAUCCCGGGGCUCAACCUCGGAACUGCCUUUGAUACUGCAAGUCUCGAGUUCGGGAGAGGUGAGUGGAAUUCCUAGUGUAGAGGUGAAAUUCGUAGAUAUUAGGAAGAACACCAGUGGCGAAGGCGGCUCACUGGCCCGAUACUGACGCUGAGGUGCGAAAGCGUGGGGAGCAAACAGGAUUAGAUACCCACGUAGUCCCUGAGCGGGCUGGCAAGGCGCAU